GGAGAGGUGGCCGAGUGGUCGAAGGCGCAGCACUGGAAAUGCUGUAAUGGGGUAACUCAUUCGAGGGUUCGAAUCCCUCCCUCUCCG
RNAcentral lists this transfer RNA (87 nucleotides) under Spirulina subsalsa FACHB-351. RNAcentral's name for it is "tRNA-Ser". It matches the Rfam family "tRNA". Rfam says of the family: Transfer RNA (tRNA) molecules are approximately 80 nucleotides in length. RNAcentral also lists the same sequence under 2 other names. Lineage: Bacteria; Bacillati; Cyanobacteriota; Cyanophyceae; Spirulinales; Spirulinaceae. The record is from RNAcentral.